AAAACUUUCAACAACGGAUCUCUUGGUUCUGGCAUCGAUGAAGAACGCAGCGAAAUGCGAUAAGUAAUGUGAAUCGCAGAAUUCAGUGAAUCAUCGAAUCUUUGAACGCACAUUGCGCCCCUUGGUAUUCCGAGGGGCAUACCUGUUCGAGCGUCAUUGCACCCCUCAAGCCCUCUCUCGGGGUCUUGGUCUUG
RNAcentral lists this ribosomal RNA (194 nucleotides) under Sticta caperata. RNAcentral's name for it is "5.8S ribosomal RNA". The stretch from base 3 to 156 matches the Rfam family "5.8S ribosomal RNA". Rfam says of the family: 5.8S ribosomal RNA (5.8S rRNA) is a component of the large subunit of the eukaryotic ribosome. It is transcribed by RNA polymerase I as part of the 45S precursor that also contains 18S and 28S rRNA. Lineage: Eukaryota; Fungi; Ascomycota; Lecanoromycetes; Peltigerales; Lobariaceae. The record is from RNAcentral.